UUGUUGGAUCUAAUUUAAUACAGAUUUAAUCCUAAAUGGUUUGAAUCAAACAUGUUAGUACGUGUUUAAACCCUAAUUCCUAAUCUAUUUAGAUUCUUUUUGGCAUUGGGUUUUGAAUGGUCAAGACCAAAAUCAAUUGGACUUCUAAUUGGCUUUUGAAUGGUCAAAGGCUUAUUAUCUUAGAUUCAAUCCAUUGCUCCUUGAAUUGGAGACAUGCAAGAGUUAGAUGCAUGAAGGACUUCUUCACGUCACUUGGGAAACCCAACUUGGAAGGAGUCCACGCCAUUUAUUUCCUCUCACCCCUUCUCAUUUUUUGCAUGAAAGAGUUUCACACAUCCUUAAUUUUUCGUGUCAUAUGAUGUGUGCCCCUUGGGGUUAAUAUGAAAGAAUUUUAAUGCCUCCUCAUUUCUUUCCUCUUCUCUUGAUUAAAGGAGUCCAUGACUCCUAGGGUUCUUUCCAUUCCCUUAAUCCCAAGAGAUUCCACGUGUUAUUGUGAAAGGAUGUGUGCCAAGAUGUUGUGCGCCUCUUAAAUCCUUUCUUUAUUACAUUUGUGUGAAAGAGUUUCACACGUUUGAUCCACUUGGCCACAUGUCUCUUGGUUGUGUUUAAAAGGAAUGGCAUCCAAAUGUUGGUAACAAGAGUCCUUUUUGAACACAACUCUUCCUACCCCUUAUUAGGACCACCGUGCACCUGCAUAAACCUGAGGAGAUCUAUGACGGAGCCUUCUCUUAGAGUCCAUGACGAUCCAAACUCUCUAAGGUCAGCAAAAUUCAUGCCCU
RNAcentral lists this long non-coding RNA (779 nucleotides) under Elaeis guineensis (African oil palm). RNAcentral describes it as "long non-coding RNA (EGUI_LNC042610)". The record is from RNAcentral. Lineage: Eukaryota; Viridiplantae; Streptophyta; Magnoliopsida; Arecales; Arecaceae.